Molecule: RNA transcript, 1263 nt
Organism: Hevea brasiliensis (rubber tree)
Lineage: Eukaryota; Viridiplantae; Streptophyta; Magnoliopsida; Malpighiales; Euphorbiaceae
Gene name: ribonucleoside-diphosphate reductase small chain A
Exons: 3
Source: RefSeq, a predicted model, not a curated record
UCUUUUUUCAAUCUGUUUUGUUAGUUUUUUUUUUUUUGGCGGGUAUUAUACGGUCGUGUCUUGUGUCCUUAUUUUUUUUUUUUAUGUUUUAAUUUGGAUUGUUGGGUUUGUUUGUUCGUGCGUAUUUUCAAUUGGGUAUGCUUUAGUAUUCUUAUACGCACGGCUUGGUUAGUUUGAUGGAAAUAUGAGAUUUUGCAUGGAAAUAUGUCUUCUUUGAUGCUGUGAGAUUCUUCCCCCUCCUUUUGUCUCCAAAAUUUGAAGCUUUUUCGUCUCAAUUUCAAAAUUUUUCCUUCUUUUAUCUCUCUCGCUCUCUCUUUUUCUCUCUCCUCCAGCUAUUUACAUUAUUCUUAAUUUGUUUCUACUCAAUUCUGCCUCGAGUAAUAGUCAGAUGAUAAAAGAAUAGUUAAGGAUGAAUCAAUUUGUGCAAUCAGCUUAGAUCUUUUCCCAGUUGAUAAUCUAAUAACCAGAAUUUAUUCUUUUGCUUACUGUAGGCCCGAGCAUUCUAUGCAUUUCAAAAGCAACACAUUUCUUUACUAUUACAUGUUUUAUUCAUUAAGAGAAAAGGAAAGAAAGGUUUAUUUCUUUUCCUUCUAUUUUCAGGUUGCCUUAGGUUAUCAAAGGAAGUAAAAUGUGGAAAACCCCUUUGAUUGGAUGGAAUUUAUAUCUUUGCAAGCGAAAGCAAAUUUCUUCGAGAGAAGAGUAGAGAUUAUCAGAAGGCAUCUGUUAUGUCGAGCCUUCAUCAUGGUGGAAAAAACUUUAAAAUGGAUGAAGACUUCUAGCCUGAUAUGAUGCAACUCCCUCCAGUAUCAAAGAUGUGCUUGAAGAAGGCAUCAAAAUUUUUCUAAUAUUCUUUAUGGUGACAUUUGUCUGUAGUCUACAACAUUUGCAAGCAAUCUCAAAGCAUCAAGGGUAUGAAAUGUGGAUCUGUCAUACUGCAAAUUUGUUUCCACAGCUAGAAAGAUGUUCCCUCGGGACCCCAUCAGGAGCUUCAUAAUCGAAGAUGCUUUGCUUAUCCGCCAUGACCAUCUUCAUUGCUUAUGGAAUUGAGUUGAGGCUGGUGGUAUGAUAAUGAUGAAACAAAUUAGUGCUCUCUUAUCAUAAGCAUUUAGUAUUGAGAAUCAUUAUUUUAUCAUAAUGACAUGUUUUGUCGUAUUCUAAGCUUGUGAUGGAUGAUAUUUCACUGAAUCAUCUACUCAUAUGCAUGGUCUGAGGAUCUUGGUCUUGUAUAUAAUAUGCUUUUAUGAGAUGUCAAUUUUUCCUCUU